RNAcentral lists this ribosomal RNA (468 nucleotides) under uncultured bacterium. RNAcentral's name for it is "partial 16S ribosomal RNA". It matches the Rfam family "Bacterial small subunit ribosomal RNA", at positions 28 to 507 of the family's 1533-position model. The record is from RNAcentral.
GACGAACGCUGGCGGCGUGCUUAACACAUGCAAGUCGAACGGAAAGGCCCUGCUUUUGUGGGGUGCUCGAGUGGCGAACGGGUGAGUAACACGUGAGUAACCUGCCCUUGACUUUGGGAUAACUUCAGGAAACUGGGGCUAAUACCGGAUAGGAGCUCCUGCUGCAUGGUGGGGGUUGGAAAGUUUCGGCGGUUGGGGAUGGACUCGCGGCUUAUCAGCUUGUUAGUGGGGUAGUGGCUUACCAAGGCUUUGACGGGUAGCCGGCCUGAGAGGGUGACCGGCCACAUUGGGACUGAGAUACGGCCCAGACUCCUACGGGAGGCAGCGGUGGGGAAUAUUGCACAAUGGGCGGAAGCCUGAUGCAGCAACGCCGCGUGCGGGAUGACGGCCUUCGGGUUGUAAACCGCUUUCGCCUGUGACGAAGCGUGAGUGACGGUAAUGGGUAAAGAAGCACCGGCUAACUACGUG